UUAUAACAAAAGCCAAAAUGAAUUCUGUACAUUGUAACUUUAUAGCGUGUGUAAUUCACUGUAAGUAUAUAGGUUUAUAUAGAUAUAAACACUGACAGUAUAUUAUAUACGAUACAAGCUGCUGAUUACUAGAGUUAUAAAUCAUGGGUUCAUUUUCCUAUAAUUCUCUCUGCACCUUUAGCAUCGUUUAGUAGGUAAGAAUCUGAAAUCUGCCAGAGCCAUUAUAUACACAAAUACACACAUAUAUAUGUGUGCGCGUGUGUGUGUGUCCUGGCCACCGUGGAGCAAUGCGAGAAGCAAGCCGGUUGUGCUUUGUGUCAAGGAGGCUUAUGUUGUAGCAAAUGGGGUUGGUGUGGCUCCACUGACGAUUAAUGCCUCAAGGAAAAAUGCCAAAGUAAUCGCACCAGAGAUGACAUUGGCAGUGGUGGCGGUGGUCGAGAAACUGGUGGUGCAGUUGUAGAAAACGAUCCUAGCUGCUAUGCUGAUAACUUCUACACCUAUGAUGGUUUCUUAGCAGCCACUUUCCGGCAACCGGUGAUGAUGAGGCACGGGAAAGGGAAGUUGCUGCUUUCUUAGGCCAAACUUCCCACAAAACUACUGGUGGAUGGGACACCACACACGGUGAUUGGAUAUUGCUAUAACUAGGAAAUAGGUUGCCCUGCUGGUUAUUGCAACGAAGACUCUAAUUACCCCGGUGGCCGAGGUCCCAUGCAACUUUCAUGGAAUUAUAUAACUAUGGCCAGUUUGGCGAAUCCAUAGGACGAAAGGACAAGCUUUUACGACACCUUGACCUGCUAAAAACGAAUGUUACCAUGUCCUUUGAGUCUGCUCUCUGGUUCUAGAUGACAACUGCAAUCAUGGAAGCCUUCUUGCCACGAUGUGAUUGUCGGAAUUUGGCAAGGUGACGGAGAAGGUGAACUUCAGGGGUAUGGUGUGAUCACGAAUAUUAUCAAUGGCGGCUUGGAAUGCGGUCAAGGUGGUCCGGACAAUAGGGUAGAGGAUCGCGCGCAUUGGGUUCUAUAAUUAUGCAUAAUAUUACGUGAUAAUAUUCUAUGACAUCAAUUAUGCAUACUAUUAUAUGAUAAUUGUUGAGAGGGCUGAUUCUUUCAAGGGAAAUUGAGAAAUUGAGAAAUUUUCGAAAUUUCAUUCGCUGAGCAGCUGAUCGAACUUCCAUCGAACUUCCAGCAAUGGAAGGUAUUUUGUUUCCCGUGUUCCUUAAGAGAUUGCUUGAAGAUGCCUAAUCUUAUAAUCAGAAGCGUACGUCAAUUGGUGAUAUAACUUGCCAGGCUGAUGAGAGAGGUGUCAGUGAGGGGCAUAACGUUAAUUAAGAAAAUCACCUAACCUACGAAUUCCUUUUAGUUUUGCUAUAGUUCACACGUCUUGGAGGGGUCUCUUUAGAAGGUCAAAAGUGUUAUUUUUCAUUUUAGGGAGCCUUACCUUGACUUUGCUAGCCUCCCAGUGUUGUCCCCAUUGAUGAGACAAUGGAGCGAUAAAGUAUAAUUUGUUUGACGUAUAAAUUUAUCAUUUGAUGAACAUGAUUAAUUGGAGUUUACGAGAGCUUGACCAAAAUAGUAAAA
Molecule: long non-coding RNA, 1577 nt
Organism: Gossypium arboreum
Lineage: Eukaryota; Viridiplantae; Streptophyta; Magnoliopsida; Malvales; Malvaceae
Exons: 3
Source: RefSeq, a predicted model, not a curated record